CAAUAGCGUAUAUUUAAGUUGUUGCAGUUAAAAAGCUCGUAGUUGGAUUUCGGAUGGGAUUUGCCGGUCCGUCGUUACGAUGUGCACUGGCCAGUCCUAUCUUGUUGUCGGGGACUAGCUCCUUGGAUUCACUUCCUGGGACUAGGAGCUGACGAGGUUACUUUGAGUAAAUUAGAGUGUUCAAAGCAAGCCUACGCUCUGAAUACAUUAGCAUGGAAUAACACGAUAGGACUCUGGCUUAUCUUGUUGGUCUGUGAGACCAGAGUAAUGAUUAAGGGGGACAGUCGGGGACAUUCGUAUUUCAUUGUCAGAGGUGAAAUUCUUGGAUUUAUGAAAGACGAACUUCUGCGAAAGCAUUUGUCAAGGAUGUUUNCAUUA
This 378-nucleotide ribosomal RNA is filed under the name uncultured eukaryote. RNAcentral's name for it is "partial 18S ribosomal RNA". It matches the Rfam family "Eukaryotic small subunit ribosomal RNA", at positions 592 to 975 of the family's 1831-position model. The record is from RNAcentral.